Nothoprocta perdicaria is the source of this 102-nucleotide long non-coding RNA. RefSeq lists it as uncharacterized. The transcript is spliced from 2 exons. NCBI's taxonomy places the organism in Eukaryota, Metazoa, Chordata, Aves, Tinamiformes, Tinamidae. The record is from RefSeq and is a predicted model, not a curated record.
AGCCCAUCUUCGCCGUCACGCGGCCCGCGGUGCCCGUGUACCAGGAGCUGAGCCGCCUCAUCCCCAAGUCGGUGGUGGCGGAGCUGCGGGAGGACUCGAGCA